GGCCCUGUCUAGCUCAACUGGUAGAGCAAGACAUUAACACUGCCCGCGUUAGGGUUUGAUUCCCAGUGGGGCCA
This is a non-coding RNA of Merluccius polli (Benguela hake), 74 nucleotides long. Lineage: Eukaryota; Metazoa; Chordata; Actinopteri; Gadiformes; Merlucciidae. The record is from the annotation of a GenBank genome assembly.